Long non-coding RNA from Momordica charantia (bitter melon), 595 nucleotides. RefSeq lists it as uncharacterized. The record is from RefSeq and is a predicted model, not a curated record. NCBI's taxonomy places the organism in Eukaryota, Viridiplantae, Streptophyta, Magnoliopsida, Cucurbitales, Cucurbitaceae.
GUCCCUCAGAAGCCAAAUUCUUCAAUGGCUGCGGUUGCAGCAAUUUUUCUCUCACCCUCUGAGCUCGUAUUAACAAUAUUAUAGAUCUAGAUUCUGCAUCAAUGAUCUUUAUUCUUAUUUUCCGCGUCAUUAGCCGGCCGUGAGACAUUUUUCCCCCUCUCUUUUCUACCUUUGCUGGAUGAAAUUUGUUGUUCUUUUCCUGUGAUUUAUUUGUAAGUUUUCUCGCGUAUGGUUGAUUUCUUGGACGUACCAGUGGAUGAGGAUGAAGCAAAUAUUAAUAAUCCAACACUUGAUCUGAGAUAAUGAAUUCAUUGUCUGCUGAUGCUAUUGUUAGCUUCUGAAUCUAUUUUGGUAUUCCAAUGCCAUUGUUUUAUUUAUUUUUAGUUGAUUUUCUAAGAUGCAUGUGGAUGACAUGUUGAUUUUUCUCGUCUUUGGUACGUGUACAACUCUUGAUCUGUGUUGUCCAUCGGCCAUUGCAUCUGGAUUACAGUCCUUUUUUCCUGUUCGAGUUUUGUGUUGUUACAAUCACCUGUUUUAAAUUCCUGUAUUCCAAAUAUACCAGACGGAUGAAAAAAAUUCUACAGAGGUGUUUUCA